This 470-nucleotide long non-coding RNA is filed under the name Papio anubis (olive baboon). RNAcentral describes it as "lncRNA (ENSPANG00000045979.1)". The record is from RNAcentral. Lineage: Eukaryota; Metazoa; Chordata; Mammalia; Primates; Cercopithecidae.
GAAUGACCUCACACACCAGGAAUGAGAAGCCCCCACCAACAAAGGCCUGUUGAUAAUUCUCCUGAGAAAAGGCAUUGAGUCUCAUCUCUUCCCUGACCUGGGGUUAAAGAGUGGACAAUAAUGCUGUUGCCUUCAAGAAUGAGCCAGAGAGGGAAGGUGACCUGAAAAGGUGACAAAGCAAUCAGCGCAAACUACAUCCUUGGGCCAAAUCUAUGACAUCAGCAAAGCUGGGCUUCAAUCCUUGCCUCCCUUUUCCCCUGGUCAGGGUGCUCCUCCCCAAGACAGGAGGCUCCUCAUCCUCGUUCCCUUUUCAAGACCACCUGCUGGGCAACCACCAUUUACUCAUUCAUGCUAAAGGGCCUGAAAAGACUAAUUUUGGAGAAUAUGUGUUGACUGUUCCAACUGUAAGCAUGCUUCCUGCCCUCCCUCCAGGCUGCCCAGCGGUGCCACUGCUGCAAAUCCAGAUGUGA